CUUGGUGUGAAUUGCAGAAUCCCGUGAACCAUCGAGUCUUUGAACGCAAGUUGCGCCCGAAGCCUUUUGGCCAAGGGCACGUCUGCCUGGGUGUCACGCAUCGUGUCGCUCCCCUCCUGUUCCUUUGGGGCGAUACUUAGGUGGGGGCGGACAAUGGCCUCCCGUGCAUUAUUGAUGUGCGGCUGGCCCAAAUGAGAUCCUUCGGCGACUCACGUCACGACCAGUGGUGGUUGAACUCUCAACUCUCGUGCUGUUGUGUCGUAUGGCGUCGAACGGUAGACAUUGUUGCAUACCCAAUGGUGUGAUAUAUUCAUGCUUUUGACCGCGACCCCA
RNAcentral lists this small RNA (333 nucleotides) under Cistanche ridgewayana. RNAcentral describes it as "eukaryotic LSU rRNA". The stretch from base 1 to 96 matches the Rfam family "5.8S ribosomal RNA", at positions 61 to 154 of the family's 154-position model. Lineage: Eukaryota; Viridiplantae; Streptophyta; Magnoliopsida; Lamiales; Orobanchaceae. The record is from RNAcentral.